CUCCUCUCCCUGCACCUCACCCACUCCCCCCCAUCCCCGCCCGAGGCCCAGCCCUCCACAGGGCAGCAGUGCCUUAACGGUUUCACAUCAGGCUUCUGCUUAAGAUUUUAUCUGAACAAGUGUCACUUCAGCCAUGAAAACCGGUCACCACUGAACAGUUCACUCAAGCUUAGUUAAAACGGCAAACCCCAUUUAUAUUGUCUCACAAUAAAAGAUCUGAUCAAUUGCUGGGUCAGAUCAUCUCCAAGUCCCCGUCAUCUGAGCCGUGACCUCUGCCCUGUCUGCUCUGCCGUGCCCCUCCCCCAGUCCUCCCAGAGGCCCCGCGCUCUGCUGAGCUCUUUGGAGCGACGCAGUGUUCUGUGGGAAGGCCAAAGUCCUGGGCACCUGGCGAGGACCUCAGCCCACAGUGGAAACAUCGGUGGGGAGACAGGGGAAGGGGGACGUUGUUGCCCAAAACUAGAGAGCAGCCCUUCUCCUAUUUCUUGUCUCCACACACACCAAACAGGACAGACGUCAAAGGAACACAUACGCACGCAGGUUAAAUUCGAACACUUACAUAAAUGUGAGAGGACCUCCUCUCAAGGGACCCCUAGGCCCCAAGGCCUCCAGGAGGCUGGAUGUUGUUCUGAGUAGGACAAAGGGGAGAUCUGAGAUUUUAGAUUCUAAAACAGGAGAGGGGAGCCCCCUGAGGUGGGAGAGGGAAGAGAGGGGAGCCCCUGAGGUGGGGGGAGGGUGAACAGAGGAGACACAGAAGCCAGAAGGUAGAAGGGCCUGGGUGGUGAGGGGAAGGGCUCCCCACACGAGCUGUCUCAGCUGCUCAGGAAGCCUCACCAGGGAGAAGCACAGAGGAGGGCUAAGACUCACUAUGAGGGGCAGGAGGGGCCCUGAGGCUCCUGGAAAUUGGGCCGACUCGGGCAGGACCAUUUGCUGGGGGGCCCGGAGGAUGUGCCCCCAUGCUUCCAGGGACCGGGAGGUCCACUUGGCAUCCGGAUCACACCUCAACCAAAGGUGGGGUCCUGGUGCCCUUGGCUUGGCAAGGAGGAUAAGCACAUCUGCUGCCCCCGCCGGCCCCGCCUGAUUUCUGAUGCACAAGCUCUGGGGCGGAAGUGAGGGCCCUUCCCCAAGAGGGGAAAUCCUGCCCCACCCUGAGACCCCCUGGAUGGCUCUGUUGUCUCCAGAGGGAAAACGAGGGGACUAGUGGGAAACAGGGGGUUUUCCCAGGCCCUUCCGGGCUUCCUCUUCGAAAAUAAGCCGCCAGACCUGCACAGCUGCGGCCGGACCCCGAAUAACCUCGCCACAAAGGCUGGCAGGCCUCCCAGUUAAAAAUAAUCUGCAGCCACUUCAUCAGGACAGAGCCAAGGGGCCCCCACCCAGAGAAGGCUUCCCUGCCCCCUGGUGUCUAUAGGGGCCGUUGGAAGUCAGUGAGCCAAACAGCUACCAUAUGUAGGGUUCAUAGUGCUAGGUGUCCCUCUCAGUUAAACCCUGCAACAGCCUUGAGGUGGGCGCCAUUAUUAUCAUCUAAGUGAUAAUGACAAAAAGGAGGCAUAUGUGCAGAGAGGGUAAUCAACCAGCCCAAGGUUACACAGCAGGGGAAUGGCCGAACAGGGACUCAGACUUGGAAAGCCCGGCCAAGUCUGUUGUUCCAGAUGUUGCCAUUCCCUCCUUCAGAGGCAGGAAAGCAGUGAGGGGUUGAACACUGUUCCCCCAUCCCCCCGGGCAAGUUGUCUGUCAGUCUUGUUCUCCUUACCGGAAAAGUCACGUAAGAGGCCGAGGAGGCGGAAGUCUAGGCCCAGAGCCGGCACAGUGCCCCUUCUGUUGUACCCUCUUGGUCAAAGCCAUCACAGGCCCGUCCAGACUCAAGGGAAGAGAGACAGACUACCCGUCUCAAGGUAGGUGUAAUUGUCCCCAUCUUAUGGAUUAACAGAUCGAGGUUCAGAGAGGUGACGGGUCCAGGGACAUAGAACUUGUGAGACAGACCCAAGGUUCACACCUGGGAUGGUGGCCUGGUCUGUGUGGGUCUGAAGUCUGGAGUCCUCUGCCCCACCACCCUGGCAGAGUGAUGGGUCAGGACUGACAGCUCACUUCAACAUCUAACCCAGUGGUUCCCAGCCUGGGCUGCAGACUCACCGGGGCAGUUUAAAAUCACAGAUUCCGGACCCUGCUCCCUGGAGUUAGGCUUUAAAUGGUCUGAUGUGGAGCCUGGACACUGGAAAUUUUUAAAGCACUCCAGUGAUUUGCAUUGCAGCCAAGGGCGGAGGACACCGUUAAAACCAAACAGGUUCCCUCCCUGCUUGUGGCCUGCAUGGAGAACCUUCCCCUGGACAUUCCUUCCCUGACCCUGAGCAUCUGGCUCCAGCCCUGCCCCUGUCCCACCCUCCAAGUCAGCGGGGAAGAGGAGACUGCCACCCGGCCAGCCAGCUUCCCCCGCACAGGGAUGGAGGAGAGACGUUCUGUUCCUGUGCAGGGAGGUGCUGGGACAAGCAGCUACCAUCAGAGCAAGUCCAGCCCCAGCGCUGCCGGAGGACAGGGGAUACAGGUUCAAAUCCCAGCUCUGCCACUAAUUGGUUGAGGCUUCUUUCAUCUACAAAAUGGAGUUAAUCAUGACCACCAAGCCUACUUCACAGAGGGUUUGCAGGUCUUCAGAGAGGAAAUGAAUAUAAAAACACCAUGUGAAGAAGUGCAAGACUUUACAUGGAAAACUAUAAAACAUCAUUUAAUGACACUCAAGACCUAAAUAAAUGAAAAGACAUCCCAUGUCCAUGGAUCAGAAGACUAAAUAUUGUUACAAUUGAAAAUUGUUAUAAGUGAAAAGGCAUCCCAUGUCCAGGGAUUGGAAGACUAAAUAUUGUUACGAUUGAAAAUUGUUAUAAGUGAAAAGGCAUCCCACGUCCAUGGAGUGGAAGACUAAAUAUUGUUACGAUUGAAAAUUGUUAAUAUUGUUAAUACUGUGCAAAUUGACAUUCAGUUUAAACAAAUUCUCACGGGCAGGGGGCAGAA
Herpailurus yagouaroundi (jaguarundi) is the source of this 2997-nucleotide long non-coding RNA. RefSeq lists it as uncharacterized. The record is from RefSeq and is a predicted model, not a curated record. The transcript has 2 exons. NCBI's taxonomy places the organism in Eukaryota, Metazoa, Chordata, Mammalia, Carnivora, Felidae.